CAAUCUUUUCACUUGUCUUUCUUUCUUUCCGCUCUUUGUGCCUCCCAAACUUCUGUGUGUUGACUUCUCUUCAAUAGCAGGACUACUUGGGUCAGAGCCGUAUUCUUCUACACAGUAAGUAAAUAAAAGCAACACACAAUGUAAUAGAGGACAGAACAUAAUAAAGACGGCACUUGUGCCAAGUUCACCAAGUGCUAUUAGGAAGAAAUUCUUUAUAGAAAACAUUUUCACUUGAUUGAAAAGCAUUCUUUUCUGGUAUUUCUUUUAAGGUGAGCACAAAGUUGGUGAAAAGUUAAGAGCAAUCUCUGAAGAAGACAUACGAUGCUGUUUUUUUUUGUCAUGUUACAAUGAUGGAUGUUAAUAGUUACUGUAAAUUCCUAUGUUUGACACAUCCAAUAAAACAAUGAGCCAAAAGAGUUUCUAUUAUAUUCAAGUAUUUUAUUUACCAAGUUCCACACAGUAAACAAAAGGAUCUGUUGUACCAGAGUGGAGUGGAGUACCACCGUUUCAAACUGUGUAGCUGCAUACCAGGCCUGCUCACCGGAUAAGUCAUGGGUGCUUUCAAGGGAGCAGAGGUAUGUAUCAUCCACUCUCUGGGACCAGUUAGCAUUCAUCAGCAAUUACCAAAGUGGCUCCAGCAGUUGGCAUUAUCUCUUACGUGUUUUGCGGUCUCACUGUACAGCUUGUUUUGAAUACAUUGUGAGAUCUGAUCCGAACCUGACAUCAAUGAAGUUGUCUGUUUAGGGCAUUAAGUCUUCUUGCAGUCCAUCUAAAUUCUUAAAAUUAGGAAAGUUAAUGCUGCACAAUAAAGGUCCUUUUCUCUGAGUAAUGUAAACAAUCAGCUACCUGCACCAAGUUUUCUGCUCUCUGUCCAUGGUGCUGAAAAACAGCUCAAGGUUUCCCUGAUGAAUAGCUGAUCUCUUUAUUCAUAUACCUGCACAUACCUGCAACAGUUUGCAGUUGCUAAGUCAGUCUUUGACUUCAGGUCAUGUAGCCAUAGUUUUGCUCAGCUGCAGCAUUGCCCUCAAAGCAGUUGGUUAAGUUUAAAGACUUGAUUUGUUUUCAGCAACCUUGUUUUCAAACUCUUAAGGGAGACACAACAGGACCAGCAAGACCUCUGAAUUGCAGAUAUUUCCUGAAUUGCACUAAAGGCAGAAAAUGCCAAGUUUUCAUGCAACACAAAUGUUGAGAUGUUUGCAUUAAAUGCAUCAAAUUAACUUUGGCAAUCAUUAUGUCAGGUUUACUCUGUGGAUUACAUGGGUCAGGCCCAAACUUUGUAACAAAAUUGGUACUGUCAAAUGUAGUGAUGUGUUCUUUGUUUGUUUGUGUGUGUGUGUGAUUGUGUUUGUGUACUUGAGGAGGGCAGCAGUUGCCUGAGCAGCCAGCAGCUUCUGAUAAGACAAAGGCAGGUUGUUUGCUGUCUCUUCCUUGGCUGCCUGGCCAUUAAAGGUAACCUGCUAUCUGAUGGAGGCCAGGCUGGACACCCCCAGUAUGGCUGGACAUACUAAGGCUGUACGCGCGCGCGCGCGUGUGUGUGUGUGUGUGUGUGUGUCUGCUCCCAUCUCCACCCCUUGAACCUGUAAAUACAUGGUAUGUCUGUUCUUAUUCAGACUUUAUAACUGCUCAGAGAGUCGAGUGGAGCCCCAGCUAUCCUCCUGCAGAAUUGCUUUGUUCUGGUCCUGGUGUGUGUCUGUGUGUGUGUGUGUGUGCGUGAACGUGUGAAAAUGGGUGCGUGUUGUUUAGGUGUUGACUGGUUCAAGUGUCUCCUCUCAUGUCUAUUGCAUCUCCUGUGUAUAUGCACCCAGCGUUGAGUCCUGAAAACAUGAAGAAAUGCAAAACAUGAACACUCCUGUCUGUUAUUCAGCCACAUCGAGGCUUGGUUGAGCAUCAACUUCUGAACUGAAAUUUGUCUUUCCACUUUGUCACUUCCAAUAACAUAUCAUUGCAUAUCAUUUGGAAGGUCUGUUCAGUCAUAAAUGGUAGGUUAGCUUUGACUUAAGCCUGUAAUCUCCAUCACAAGUAGUUUUACGAUGGUUUGCACAAAGACUAAGAAGAUUUAUCCACGGUAAUAUCACCAAUUGGUUUGUAAACUACCGAUUCGAAGCCCUGCAUCUUGGCAGCCACCAUCUUUUUUUUAAGGCAAAAGCCACCAUAUUUGGUUGUAGGUUGGAUAUGCAUUGCUGCCCCUGUUUUUAUUGUAAAUGUAUUGGUGCAGUAGAAACCUGGCAAUCGUAGGUUGCCCAGGCCUAAUUUCUUCCUUGUCUAAUGUCGGUUGGAUUUUGAUCAAGACCAUAAUUUACAAAACUAGCAAGAAUUAGAGAUUAAGGUUUUAAAAAAACUAAUUUGAAAAUUGUUUAUUAAGAGACUAAAUCAAGUGACAGUAUUUUUAUACCAGAUGGGUUGUCCCCUCCUAAUGAUACAAAGAUGAAAGUUUCAAGGCAUGCACACAUAGUAUCACUUGAAAUCUAAUUGCCAUUUCAAUUUCUACUGUGAAGCCUACUGUGCUGUGUUUCCAUUAAAAUGCCAUAAUUAUCAUGUUAGUGGGAAAGUUUGGUUUCCAAACAUGAGAUUUUGGCUGUUGGUGUGUUCACUACACUAAUGAUGCUGCUGCUCAAAGACAGCCAACCAAUUCUAUUUUUACCAAUUAAGUUCUCGCAAGGCUGGACAAACGUUUGUUUAAAACUAAGGCUUUCCAAUGUAGAGUGUAAAACUUCUCUCCGACUGGUCAGUUUAAGAGCCCUAAUGUCCCAAAGUUUCAGACUUAAGUUUUAGUUUACAACUGUAGGAACUCAAUAAAGUUUACUCAGAACUAUAUUUAGGUAUCAAUACACUGAAAAACUAGAGAGAAAAUCUAGCUAUAAACAUCAUCAGAUUUUAUUUUGCAUCACAAAGUUUUCUGCAGGUGAGGAGGUAUGGUGAAAAAAAAAAAAAGUUCAGCACAUACAAGUCUACAAAUCACAGCACAGAAAAGACUGGAAUUUUUUGUAAGUAAAAGUCGCGUACACCUCUGUGUGCACCUUUGCCAGCGUCACUUGAACCAAAGCUGAGCCUGCAGCGAUGUGAGGGCAUAUAAAGCUGCAGACAGCAAGAUCCAGGCUUUUACUGACCAGAACUAAAUUCUAAAGCAAACACACACACACAUAUAUGCACGCACACACACAUGCACACACACACACUGAGCGGAGUACUUGCCCAUUGGCAGCAGCUUCUUUGCAGCCUGAGCGACUGUGGCUGCUUCUGGCUGGGUCCAAUGCAAAGCUGCUUAACAGGACUCAUCUGGGAUCAGUGACAGAUGGACAACCUGUCCUGGAGGCCCGGGCACCACCGGAGCUCCUGGAGACAGGUAAACCUGGUCAGAGCCCCACAGAGCCCCGAGGAUGCUUACAGUGUAAUCGCAAGAUUUAACAGUAGAGGUGCAUUUACACACACACACAAACGCAACCAUGCUCACACACACACACUGGACAUGAACCCAAACACUCACCUACAAACAAAUGUCUGAGAACCGCCUCUUGCAUCAUGCAGGACAAACGUGUCCUCUUGUUUUGCUCACAGUUCAGAAACCUUCAGGGUACGAUUUGGGACUACAGUACGAGCAUUUACCAGAGAUUUGUUUGAUUUAAUUUCAAUUUGAUUUAUUGAGAUGGAAACAGCAUGAAACAACAGCUUUUACUUCUGUCUUAGAUAAUGAUGUAAAAUAUAGAUGGGGGAAAGUUAUACUGUCAUACUUUCUAAUACAGCAGACCAUGUGACUUUACCCUAAGUAGCUUUGUCACUAAAUUUAUUAACACUAUUACUCAGAUUUCAGGACUUUUCAGCAACCUUCAGUAUUGAGACAUGAGGCUAAGGGGGAGUACAAAACACUGCAUUUCCUUCGGUGUCCUCUUGAGGCUGUUUCAAAAAGCUAAGGAGACCCCAUUAAAGGGAUAUUCUUGCAUAAAAUUAAUUUAGGGUCAAACACAAACUAUAACACCGAGUUAGACACCCCCUCGAGAGAUGAAUGGGGCCGACUGCUUGUUUCUCUAGUUAUACCAACUUUCGUAACGACCACACGAUAGCAACACAGAGCAGUCUAUGGAACCACACAUGAACCUCAACCAAAAGGCCACUCUAUAGCCACAAAUAAUGCUCAGAACAGCACCUAACUUCAUCAACAGCACAUAUAGGGUCCCAGCCACAGCACUAGCCACCAAACAUCUUUUUAACUCUGCCUAAUUUCUUUAGCAAAGUGACUAAACACAACUCACCUACUCUCUUCCAGCAGCCACUUGUUUGUAGCGAGACCUCGGGACAGUCCAUUAUGGACUACAGCAGGGUGACGCAGCUCAAGGAAGAACAUUUAUAAUCAUUUCUUCAUGGAAAUGAAAUCAGACCGAGACGCUAAGGCAGAAGAACUACCGUGUCUGCAGUGCAAAAUGAUUAAUAUGAUGAUUAUUACUUCAAGGAAAUGAUAAUGAAAUGAUCACAUAUGUUCUUCCUUGAGCUGACCCCCGCUGUAGUUCGUAAUGGACUGGCCAGAGGUCUUGCAAAAAUGCUUGCCUUUUACAGCAGAGAUAAACAUGCACUGUCUGGUACAAAGACAUAUUUUUCUUUACUCUUGACAACUCUAUGGGCCCAAUUAUAUCACCAAACAUGCAUGGUCUGAUUUAGAUGUGAAUCAGGGUGUGUCCAACCACUUUUUGCUAGUAAAGCAGCGUGCAAUCUCAAGUGAGGCCAAAGGCACAAAGUGGUUUGAUUAUGACCCUUGGUUAUUAUGCGUAUAAUGGGGCAACAUGAAUCAAACCAAUCAGUGCAUUUGCUAUAAUUCCCUUUAUGAUCAUAUAAAACUAUAUAUAUGUACACUCACCGGCCACUUUAUUAGGUACACCUGUCCAACUGCUCGUUAACACUUAAUUUCUAAUCAGCCAAUCACAUGGCGGCAACUUAGUGCAUUUAGGCAUGUAGACAUGGUCAAGACAAUCUCCUGCAGUUCAAACCGAGCAUCAGUAUGGGGAAGAAAGGUGAUUUGAGUGACUUUGAACGUGGCACGGUUGUUGGUGCCAGAAGGGCUGGUCUGAGUAUUUCAGAAACUGCUGAUCUACUGGGAUUUUCACGCACAACCAUCUCUAGGGUUUACAGAGAAUGGUCCGAAAAAGAAAAAAUAUCCAGUGAGCGGCAGUUCUGUGGGCGGAAAUGCCUUGUUGAUGCCAGAGGUCAGAGGAGAAUGGCCAGACUGGUUCGAGCUGAUAGAAAGGCAACAGUGACUCAAAUAACCACCCGUUACAACCAAGGUAGGCAGAAGAGCAUCUCUGAACGCACAGUACGUCGAACUUUGAGGCAGAUGGGCUACAGCAGCAGAAGACCACGCCGGGUGCCACUCCUUUCAGCUAAGAACAGGAAACUAAGGCUACAAUUUGCACAAGCUCAUCGAAAUUGGACAAUAGAAGAUUGGAAAAACGUUGCCUGGUCUGAUGAGUCUCGAUUUCUGCUGCGACAUUCGGAUGGUAGGGUCAGAAUUUGGCGUCAACAACAUGAAAGCAUGGAUCCAUCCUGCCUUGUAUCAACGAUUCAGGCUGGUGGUGGUGGUGUCAUGGUGUGGGGAAUAUUUUCUUGGCACUCUUUGGGCCCCUUGGUACCAAUUGAGCAUCGUUGCAACGCCACAGCCUACCUGAGUAUUGUUGCUGACCAUGUCCAUCCCUUUAUGACCACAAUGUACCCAACUUCUGAUGGCUACUUUCAGCAGGAUAAUGCGCCAUGUCAUAAAGCUGGAAUCAUCUCAGACUGGUUUCUUGAACAUGACAAUGAGUUCACUGUACUGAAAUGGCCUCCACAGUCACCAGAUCUCAAUCCAAUAGAGCAUCUUUGGGAUGUGGUGGAACGGGAGAUUUGCAUCAUGGAUGUGCAGCCGACAAAUCUGCGGCAACUGUGUGAUGCCAUCAUGUCAAUAUGGACCAAGCUCUCUGAGGAAUGCUUCCAGCACCUUGUUGAAUCUAUGCCACGAAGAAUUGAGGCAGUUCUGAAGGCAAAAGGGGGUCCAACCCGUUACUAGCAUGGUGUACCUAAUAAAGUGGCCGGUGAGUGUCUUUAUUGAGUUUAAGUAUAUUUAACUUCCCCCCUUUGACUGUGCUCCAAAUAACAUGACAACAACACGUGAGUUGUGUCAGUGCUUAGACUGAUGUUGAAUCCACUGAAACUGUCCCUUUAACUGUUUUCAGCUACCUUUGCAAUUUCCUGGUAUGCUCGUUGUUUCUGUUUUAGUCGUGUGUGUCUUGGUGUAUUUGUUAGUUAAUGUUGUGAAAUGUGUUUAUAGUUUAAGAAAAAUGAUGAGUAACAUGGAAGAUGAAAAAUGGAGGCCCGGGCUGAGAGAAAAGAGAGUAUGUGUGUGAGAGUGCAACAGAAACACACAUGAAGGUCACAUUUAAAAGCUGGCAUCUCUCCUAUGGCAGUAUAGCUUCAUGGCCUCCUCAUGCCACCAUGCUGCCUAACCCAGCACUGAAUCCCAUGGUGCAUUUCACACUUGUUUUGCAGCCGUGAGAUGAUUUGUCAGCAGCUAAAGGAUGGAAUUAGCUCCUUUGCAGUCAUCCUUGGCCUCUCAUCAAUAGCUCUUAACUCAUUUGUUCUUUGCUGUUGUUUUACGUCCAAAACGGUAUGUGUGGCAAUGUCAGGGUGGGGUUGUCGGGGUUGGUAGAAGGAAGGGGGGGGGCAAUAAUUAGCGUUGGUAUUGAAAAGUAAUAACAGUAUGGAUUAAUGUGGGAGAAGUGGAGUGGAGCGCAUCAUCGAGUGAGACAAAUCCAAUGCUGGGAAUUGGCAGACAAAGCAAGAGGCAGUCAAUAGGGAUUAUGUGGGGGCUAAGCCGCCCCACUUUGGCUGGGGGAGGCUGGGUGAAGAGAAGUGGGCUGGGGUGCCUUGAUGGCGGUGGUGGUAGCAUUUGGACAGGCAUCGAUGCACAUUCAUGCAGGUUGGCUUGAAGCUGCCACCGUCUGAGCAGACGUUGCACAGCCUCUCUGGUGGAGAGCAUGGGGAGAAGGCUGGGGAGACAUAUAGGGGGUGACAGGGGGAGGAGGAAGAGAGGACAGACAUCUUGCUUCCUCUAUUUAGCUCCUAUAACUCCUCCCACAUAACCACCCAGCCCUCCACUCUCUGUGAGACCCCAGAUCCCUCCACCCCCUAAGGGAGGUGGUGCAUUGCCGCUGCCAGAAGCUGAGUCUGUGCCAGCUGGGCAAACACUCAAGUCGUUGACAGAAUAAACACCUUGCAAAUAGAAGCAGAGAUGACACAGGCUCAGACACAGCGAGCAGCACGACUCCCCAUACAUCAGCAGGUCUGCACUCACUCCUUCGCAGCAUGAGCGGAGGGACUGAGGGUUUGACUGAUACAUCUGUUCUAACUCAUUUUGUUCUGUUUAAAACACCCCCAUCCUACUUAGUACAUGUCUCAGCUUUGGUGUGACUCAUAUUUUACAUCAUUUUGUCAAUCCCGUGUAAAAUGUUUUCUUCCAGCAGAUGGGAAACAGGCUCAUGGAGAUAAGGGAUUGAAACUCAAGACCCACUAAGGCUACCAACAGCCACUACUACUUUCUAAAAUCUUGUCAUUCCCAGCCUGGCCACUAGUUGCCCUCAGUGAGCUUCACAUACUUGCCAGCUACCUGCCAAUCUUAACAAAUAAUCACCUUUCCCAUUUACAGCCUUACAUAAACGUAUCUUCCACAGUGUAGUGCUCAGUUGGAUUUUUAAAGAUGCUUUACCUCUAUUCUGGUUUGUCCCUGUUGUGUGCCCACCACAGUUUAACACCAGGUUUCUGUAAGCCUGGUUCACAUGUGCAUUGCAUUUUCAGACCUGCACUUACCCAGGAGCAAAGCCAGACUGUGUGCUAGGAGCUGCAUGAUUAUAGCCACAAUGAUAAUAACAAUCAAGACUUAGAUCCCAAGAAAAAAUCACAGUUGUGACGUAUUUUUGCAACAAAUUUAAUUUACAGUUUACAGUGAAUUUCAUAAACAGACAUCCUGCGUCUUGACAUGGACAAAAAAUCUGUCCAUUCUGGCCCCCAAAAUUUGAUCAAGUAUAACGUCAAACAUCAUGUAAGCUUGACUUUUAUUUGAGUUUUGGCAUGACUUUGACACAUGGAUUUUCCUCUGAGAUUAACAUGAUGUGGAAUUAAUGGGGAAAUUAUCUGAACUUGAAUAUAUUUUAACAUUUUAUUUCAUUACAGUUACAGAUGUAAGCUUUCAGUCUUUUGGCCUUCAUCUUUAAAACAGGUGGAUUUAGUCUAAUUACCUUCUGAUUUUAUUUAAUAAUGACUUGGACUUUCUGUGUGAUCUUGACUGAACACGUAUCAUUAUUAUUCAUGAGCCUAGAGUUACAAAAGGUAAAGAGUUGAUGUUAGCUUAUUGAUGCUCCUGCAGCUUAGAUCAUCAUGCUCAUUCUGCUCCUCUGCUUGACUAACACACACCUAAAUCUCCUGCUCUCAGCCCGCUUUGCUGUCUUUUUUUCUACACUUUCUACUACAAACCUCAUCAACAUGUACAUCACUUCUUUCUCACUGGUGUCAAAGAUGAAAAAUCUUAUACCAGAAUUUGUGUUGUUCAGGUGACUUUCUAAUAGUAACUGCUAAUGAAUAUUGUUUUGUUACGAAUAUUGUGAUGAUUAUAAUAUAUAGUUAAUUUUCAUAGGCAAUAAUUGCUCAGUGCACAAAGCUGAACUCUUUCUUUUAAUACUCCACAAAGGAGUGUUACAGCCAAUGUUAAGACAUGUUUUGUUACCAAGAGUGACUUAUUUUGACAGUACUUUACUGUUAUGAACAAGAGAGCCGACAGUCCAAAUGUGUGGAAGCUGUGGGGGACUCAAUGGCAAAGUAGCUCCAGUGAGACCUGGGCCAGUGGUUCAGAUCUAUCUCUUUAACAGUUUGUGUAUUUUUUUAUAGUAUUAUCAAGUGUCGAGCACUAUCAUAACAGCUAUGCCUCGCUAGCUGGCAUGUCAGCAAGCUCUCCAAAUCAAAGUUUGCUGUGCCACCUGUCCUUUUGACCAAGACUCAGAGACUGGUUCAACAUCUCUGGCCCUGUUGUACAGCUCUAGCUUGGAUCUCAUUAUUUCUUGAGGAUGAAACACUUAUACUCGAAGUUGCUUUGAGUAAAACAUAUUUCAGGAAAAUAAAGAAAAUGGCCAGGAGCUGUUCACUUGCCUCCACUGAACUAAAGAAGAGACAAACUCGAAAUAAAAGGCUGCCUGUUUGUUUGGGUCCUCUGGCGUACCAAUCGUCCAUGUCUUUUACUUGCUGAAUGCCUUCAUUUUACCCCUUUACCGCCCUUAAAAAUGCAUAGAAAUCACACAAAAAGUCCAGUCACCCUCAGUUUCCACGAGAACACAAACUGUGGGUUUCAAAACAACCCAGUAAAAAAGAGUGAAACCCAGAUCAAAUCCAUCCACACUAUCCAAUAAAGAGUCUUUCAGGGCACAACAUGGGCACCUUUUGUUGUUUUUAUUUAGAAAUGUACCCUCUACACUUAAGGCUCUGUAGCUGUGGAGGACACUGUUGGAAAGUCUGGAUGGUGACUUCAACACGGAGGUUUCCAUUUCUAAGACAUUCAGAGCUGUUUCAAAGUCUGAAAUUGACUUUAGAAGUGUCUGGACUUCACAUCCUUUUGCCUUUUUUUCCAAAGUGUUGCAUCAUUUCCCUUUUUCACCCAGCUGCUUCCUUCUUCACGGCAUGUGGUCAGCAUUUCCUCAGAGCUUUGGAGAGGAUUGCAUUUCUGGAACCAACAUGCCAGAAAGAAAAAAAAGGCAUUGCAACUAAGCUGCUGCGAGCACUAUCCUCUCUCUCUCCCAUCCUUCGUAAACCUUGCAUACUUGUUUUCCUGUAAGUCAUUUGUAAGCAUGUGUUUGGGCUCAAUGCUAAACAAAUAAUCCAAUAAAAUCAGAACAGCCUUGUUCCGUCACUUUCUUUCAGGAAGAGGGAAACAGGACAUGACUGAUUCGGUUGAGAUUUAUGUUUUUCUUCACUCAUUUCAUCAUAAGUCAUUCAUUUAUUCAAUGCCCAUUCUCUCUGCAUAUAAUUCUUUAAUUUUUAUGUUAAUGGCUUCAUGGGGCGGUGGCUGGCUUUUGAUGACAUAUCUCCAGUGGAGAUCCUUGGACGGCUUAGUCCGCCCAUCCAAAAAUAGCUGUGAAAUCCCACCAAAUAAUAGAACGGUGGUGUGGUGGAGGGUGAGGCGGAGGGGGUGCAGGAGGGGUGGAUUUGCGGCAGCUGAGGCUUUGCAUUCGAAUGGCAGAGUCUGUCUGGAGUAAAGGGACCCCCCUCUCCACACCAGCCCUCCACCACCACAGCCACAACACCCAAGAGAGAGACGGAGAGGGGAGGUGUUAUCGGGUCCUUGCAGCCAUAGCCCUGACUUGUUCCUGAAUACCAAAUGUGGCACAGGACCAGAAAAGUGAGUUGUCUUUGUUUUGUCAAGUGUGCCAUGACAAAAUGCUGGGUAGCCCCCCUCAUGACCCCUCCUUUCCCACUCCUCACAUCCCCCAUAUGCACACACACAAACAUGCACACAGACAUGCACAUGCAGGUGAAGUAGCUCUGCUUGUUUGACCUGCUAAUCAUCUUUGCAUAAAUACAAAAACACACACACGUGCACACGAUUCAUGUCUGCGGUACCUGAUGCAUCACUGUUUCCAUAGGGAUAGCUGCACCUAUGACACUCAUGCAUCUAUCUGAAAACAUACAUUCAUACAUGCUGAAAUGCCCCAAAACAAUCUUGUGUGUUGUGUGACAGCAUGUUCACACACACAAUCACACAAAAACAAGGAGAAACAACACACUCCUGGGAAAUGUGUUUGUACAUACAUACACAAACACAAACACACACAGACAUCAAACCUCUAUCUUCACGGCAACAAGUCCUGCUAAAUAUUCAUGAAGCCCAACAACAACAACAACAACAACGGUGUCCUCUCUCACCAUCUGCUUCAUGCUGUCCCUCGCCUUUUCUCUUUCUCUCUGGUGGUCUUUGUCUUAGUCUCUCGUCCAUGUGACUGCCGUGUGUUUGAGGGACAUCAGACAGCCUUUGAGGGGUUUAUUAUUAAGCAACCGACUGUUGUCCUGCCCUGAUAGUCCUAGUCCAAUGACUUCAUGCAGCCCUACAUCACAACAGCGUCUCACAUAUACACAUGUGAACUAUGUGGGGAAAUAACAGGAUUAAAUCAUAAGUUGUAGACGAUCAUGAUAUUUAGCCUAUGCACCAGUAUUUAUUCCAGUAUUAAAAAAGAAAAUGACAAAAGUAAGCUUGAAAAACUGUCCAUUUAUGGCUCUAAGUAGCUUGUAAAGUUCACCCAUCAGUAAGUGUAUUGGGAAAUUUUUCAGAAGGCCAUUUUUUUUUUUACUUUGCUACAUGCGGGGUACCAAAUAGUCUUGGUUUAGAGUGUACGCUUAAAACCAAGAUGAGCACUUUGGUCAGAUACGUUAUGUGGCAAAGUCGGCCCCAUGUGCUAAAAAUGGUAGCAUACUAGCAUACCUUGCAUCCAAUUUCUGUUGACCAGCAUCCAUUGAAGUAACUUACCAGCCACAUGUUAUUCAAACAACCUCACUUUAAAUAUACUGAAAUAUCCCAUUUCAGACCCACUCCAAAGACAAUCAUGUUUUUCUUGUUGUCUACAUGUUCAUAUGGCAGUUUUCUGAUGCUACAGGACAUAUCAUGAGAAAACUAAGUGCAAAAUUGCAUUUCUGGGUAUUUCUGCAUUCAAUUCUCUGUGAACCUCUUGCAGACCCAAAUGGCAGGCUCAGACACAGUGAGAUUUUCUACAUCACAAAUCUAUGCUCUGUCCCCAGUGCCUCGCUCUGCAGGCCAGACCCCGAGAAGUAGAAAGGACGAUCGUGGAACAAGUGUUUGCGGUGACGGAUUACAAUCCUCGCAAGAAAGCUAAUUAUGAUGUUACCUUUUAGAGGAGGGUGCAGAGCUGUCUCUGCCCACAACUCAGAGGUAAAUUGCUGAUGAGUGACUGGAGCUCUGCAGAAGAAAAGCCCUUGAAGUGACUUGGUUUUUUUGCUCUAUAUUCAACAUUGUAUCUUGUGGGCUCCUGCACUGUAAUAGGGUAGUUAGGAUGUAAACACUCUUCUUUUGGCAUAGCUGGGUUUUUUUCCUUGCAUCUCCGUCAGACAUUUCAGGUGAAGAUUUGUCAAGUGGCAUUUUGCAUUACCUGUCUGUGAUGUGUAGAUCAUCUCAAUCUGUGUCCACAUAUUGUUUUUUAUUUGUCUACCAUCUUUUUGUCUUUCAUAUUUCUAGAAAGUGAGGAACCAGAUGCUUCCUCUCACCAGAUUUAAGCCUGGUGUGUAUUUCUGUGUCUCCACAGAAGCCCACACACACUGAAGUCCUCACCUUCUCAAAAUGAAUCACUCAUCUAAACAACGUGGACUGCAAGUACUCUGAUUGGUCUGCUUGGCAGCAGACAUGUCCAGAUUGCUGCCACUUGGCAGCGGCUGUAGUGUCCGUGUCUUGUGAUGACUCCCCUCUAUUCUUCUUUAAAAUAAUGAGAGCAGGAUCAACUGCUGCACAACAUUUAACAGCUUUGACAUAUUGUGCUCAGAUUCGGUCAACGAGGCAUGGAGGGAAAAUAGUGGGACUGGACAGAGGUUAUACAACGAGCAGAGACACUGAGCACCAAAAUGUUCAAGGUGCAUUUUAUUGCUAUCCAGGAGGCGUUGAUAUUGUUCUAAGUCAAAGACACGCACACAUGGAUACACACAAACACACACACACACACAGAGACAGACAGAACAAACAGCCUGCCAGUGCAGUCUGCAUGUGCUCAUGGGCAUGCAGGCCGAGGUGUGAAUGUGUGUCAGAUGGUUCGGUGGGCAGCCUGGCAGCCGGCAAUGUGGCAGUGCCCACACCUACAGAGAAUGACACACACACACACACAAGCCUUUUGCCCUCACACAUGCAGACACACACACCCUUCUAAGCCCCUGCCUGCCUGACCUACAAAUAAUUCUUGCACAGAUUCAUAAAUACACUCACAGAUGGGUUGGAGUCACCUGUUUACCUGGUCUGAUGGUUCUGGUCUGAAUGUUCCCGGUCUGUCAGUGUUCACUAGAUUUUAAAUAACGAAUAUGGCAUUUCUAAACUGAUUAAUAUUUCUAAUACAAGUAAAAAAGAGGGAGUGUUCACCUUUAUUAAAGCAAAUGAGAAAAUAUCCUUUGUUUUAUUGCAAAAAUACUUCAUCAUUGAUGGCUUUGAUUUGUUAUUAAAGCUUGACUUCUAUUGAAAAUAUUUUUUUCAUCCUGUCCAUUGACAAAAAUGUCCUUUUGAAUACAACUUUUCAUGUCGUAGAGGUUAAGUUUAUAACAAUAACUGCUUCUAUCAAGUAUAUCCACAUCAUUCUUUUGUUUUAGGUACCUGAUGAUCUCUCUGCAGGCAUCAAUGUCCAAGGAGCACAUGCUGGCAUUUCUGCCCCAGUUAUGAUGAGGCUGCGUGCAAAUGGCCAAUUACCCCUCAAACUACAAGUGUUUGUUGUUAACAGACUCCAAAACUCUGCUUCAGAAACCAGUAGGUGACAGACAUUACAUCCAUGUCCUAUACAAUUUUUGUUUUCUCUGUAUCUUCACAAAACAAUAGGUGAAGUCACCAAACUAUCUACGGGUUUUCUACAGUGUAUGAUCAAAUGUAUAUUUAUCAUUGAUUGUUUGGUCAGUAAAUAAUGAAAAAAAUAGUGAAAAUACAUAAAUCCUGGUUAAUCAAUUUAAACAUCUUGUCUUGCUCUUUCAACUCUCCAAGACUAUGGAAGAAUAUAUCCAAAAAAAAAAGUUCAGCAAGGGAAAAAAAAGGCUUUAAUGAAAAUGACCUCUUAGUGUUUUGCGCUACAAAGAAACUGGUUUGAAUAUUUAGUUUGUGUCCUGUGCCAAUAACCUCUUUUUAUGAAGCAAAUUUCAAAAUAAAAGUUACAAGGAGCAAAUUUAAACAUGCUUCUAGGCAAUCGUUGAAAGACAUACUUUUAUCAAGUCUCUACAUCUCCUUGUUGUAGUCAUAGUUUCCCUUCUUGAUGUUAGUGUACAGUAUGCUGCUUGUAUGUCUCCCCCUCCUCUAAUUCUCAUUCCAAUCUCGCCCUCACCAUCACUGUCUCCCUCCCUCUGUCUCCCUCCAUCCCUCACUCUCACUCCCCCUCUGUCUCUCUGCUCCUUCUCUCAGCAGUAAGCCCUCUAAUCUCUCCUGUUCAAUCGCCUGGCAGACACAUGCCCUCUGUCUGCAGAGCCAGCGGGGAUGUUUCCUGUGCAGGUGUACCACAGAGCAUGCACAAUAGGUACGAAGAGCACGGGGAGCGUGGCGGCUUUAGUAUGACGAGCAGGGCAGGUUGCAUGAUAAGUAUGCUGAGGAUGGUUAUAGGUAUGGAGAGUAAACAUGGCAGCUAUAGCGGAUGCAGCAGGUCCAGGGCACAGGGUGAUCACAGGGGUUUGUGGGUUAUAAGUAUGCCGGGCAGCGUGUGCAUGGAAACCGCGGAGAGUCCGGCGGGCGUGGUGCGAACAGUGGGAGUAGCAGAUGGUGGACACAGUGAGUAUGAAACAUGGCAGACACUUUGGGUACAGUGAGCACAGUGUGACCCCCUGUGCAGGGUGGCGGGACCGGGGGCCAAGGUUGCCAGUCGUGCCUGGACUCCCGCCCACUCUCCCUGACAUCCUCCAUGACGUUUCCUCUCUCCCCUCUUGCUGAGUCAUUAGUAAUUUUUGAGAGUUGGUAGCUUUUCCCCCCUUGUUGCUGGCAUCUCUUAAUCAAUGUUAAUUGGCUUGGAAUUAGCAUAUGUUAAUUAAUGAUAUUUACUUCAAAUUAAAGGUAUGAGUGGUCCCAGAGGGUUUCCUGUUCAUCUAAUUAGAACCAAUUAGCUGCAAUUAACACGUGUAAAUGAGACGGCACUGAGUCCAAAACAAACAGUGUGUAUAUGCAGGCUGCUGCCCAGCUUCCCCUGUGUUACCAAACAUACACUGAGCCUGUGUUUCCUUUUCUAUCUGUGCAGUCACAUUACAUUCAUGGCAGUAACAUGUGCUAUAACAAACCAGGAGGAACAAAAAGUCAUCUCAGCUCAAACACAUCACCAUCCUGGACCUCUCUGCUCCAAGUUUUCCCGCUCACAUCCUCAGCAUCUCUCCUAUUUUUAGAGCGCGCUGCCAAACUAAUUUGUUUUACAGACCUUCCUAUCAAGUGAAGAAAAUCCCGGAGGUGUAUUAAUUGAAAUUCAGUCGACGGCACAUCUUGUUUUGGUCUAAGAAACCACCAGCCGUGCUGAGUGUGGAGAGUAAUCUCACACAGGGAAAAUUGCCAGGAAAUGAGAAGAUGUAAACAAGGGAGAAGGUAGAAAAUAAACAGAAGUCAUUCAAGCAUCCAUGGCAUCUCACCAUACUCUAUUAAAAGUAGACUGACUGUUUUAGUUUAGAUUCCAGCGGAUCUUCUCUUACUUUUACUAACUGGCUACUUUUUUAGUGGGAGAAAUCACAUCCCAUCUUUCUUGCAGUAAAAAAACAGCUAAAGUAAGUUUUGACACAAAGUACAACGAAAGGACCCAAAGAGAAAAUAAAAAUAACAAGUGAGCUUUAACAAGUGAGUGACAGCUAUCAGGGCUACAAAAUCAAAUUCUCUUCAUUUUUUAAGUGUCUCCAAUAAGUAACAGUGACAGAAAAACACUAAUAAUGUUCCCCAUUAUGCAGAUGACACUCAAUUUUACCUAUCAAUGUGACUGGGGGAAACCAAUUAGCCAACCAAACUAGAAACCUGCUCUAAGGACAUUGUUUAUUUGAGGAUUUUCACCAAAGCACAAAAACUGCACUGCUAAGGAUGACAGAUAGCCAACUGUUGGCCCCACAGUGGUCUCAUCAUCUUGCUGCUUUUGAUACAACUGACCAUAAGAUCCUGUUACAGAGACUUAAAAUAACCUCUUUAGCUUGACUGAAAUCAUAUUUUUCUGAUUGAUCUAAUCUUGUGCAUGUUAGUGAAAGUCUUCUGUGCCCACCAAAGUUAUCUAUGGAGUUCCACAGGGUUCAACGCUUAGACCAAUCCUUUUCACCUUGCUUCAUCAAUCCUUCCUAUAUCAUGCCUAUAACUGAAGCCACAGAAACCAAUAAAAUAACAACUCUUGAAGCACGCCUUGAAGUCAUAAGGACCUAUAAGACCAGGAAUCUUUUGCCACUCAAUUCUGACAAAACUGAAGUUAUUGGUCUCUGCCCCAAAUACUAUAGUGAUUUUUCAAUGAUAUAACUGUAGCAGAUGGGAUCAGUCAGGUAUCCAGCCUCACUGUUGAGAAUCCAAAAGUUAUUUUUGGUCAGGAUAUAUCCUUUAACCUCUACAUUCAAGAAAUUUCCAGAACUGCCUUUUAUCACCUGUUUAAUAUUGAAAACUAUAUGGUAUUUUGAAAUGUAAUAAACAGAGAGCAGACACAUUACUGAAACUCUAUAUUUGAAACAGAAUACAUUUAUGGAAAAUUCACGUUUUUGUCCCAUUUCACAGACUGUCAGAGUAACAGGAAAAUAUAUAUUAAUGGAGAUAUAGAGAGAGUUGGUGUUUUUUACAGUGAAAAAACUGUAUGUAUAUAUUGGUAUCAAUAACAGUAUCGGCUAAAGAUGAGUCUGAAAAUCUCAGCAUGUCAGCAAAAAUUAAACUUUGUACGUUCCUACUUGUCCAUUGCGCUCCCAGUACGCAGGCUGUCUUGUCAUACUUUGAGUAUCUAACAGUAGUAUAGGAGGUGAGACCUAUAAUUAUCAAGCCCUUGGAAUUAUCUAUCAGUCUGGGUGCAGGAGGCAGACACCUUCUCUUUCUCUCAGAAGUGGCUUGAAACUUUCCUUUUCCACAAAGCUUAUAGUUAGGGUUGGCUAGAUCAGCCCUUAGUUAUGCUGCUGUAGGCCUAGACUGCUGGGAAACCUGCCACAUGUAGCCUUUUCUUUCUGUUUGCAUGUCACUGCAUUAAAAUCUUCAUGUCGUCUACCAAACACAGAUCUUAUUUCAGAGGCUCUUGUUUUGGUUGGUACAGACAGCCUGAUGCUGUGGACCUGCUCACACCAACUGUUUCAUUUUUAUCAUCAUUACUAUUAUAAUGCUAUAUGUUAGAAUUAGUAGAUGUUACAAUUUUUCAGUAUAUAUUUGGAAAUACAUUGCAUCCAUGUUGUUUUGCAAGCUAGACUGACCCAGCUGUGCAGAUUUGAUACAGCCUUGCAGACGUGUUUUUCCCUGUCUCCUGUCUCUUGUAUCUGGAUUGCAGGUCUGUCUGGAUGAGUGAAGUCUACAAAGAACUGCAAAACAGCAUUGUCUGCUCUCUGUGCUCAGCUCCUAAAGAGACCUAAAGCACUGGCUAGAGUGUUUUGGCAGACACAACACACAUCCUUUCAUUCCACCUGGGUAUUAUAACUUCCCCCCUGUGCGCGUCCCUUUUCAAAAACCCCAGACUUCAAUUAUCCAUCCUGCAUUGGCGAGGUAUCAAUGAAGAACCCAGCGGUGACAUCCGCAACUUUCCGUGCUGUUCUUUAAUGAUGAAUAGAUGCAGAUUAUAUUUCUUUUUGUGUUUUUUCUUCUCUCCCCUCACCUUCACCUAAACCCCCACCGCCGCCCAUCGAGGUAAAAGAAGGUGUCUUGUUGAAAUCCCUUCCUGCUCUGAGCGCUGCCUAAUCUUGAGUUAGUGGUUGUGGAUGCAGCAUUGACAGGCGUCUCUCUCUCUCUCUCUCUCUCUCUCUCUCUCUCUCUCUCUCUCUGUAGCUUUUGGUAGACUCCCUUCAGCGUACUUACCACUAUAACAAUCAGGGGUGGGGGGUAACGUUGCAGGAGGGUUUGCAGUUGAAAAUACAGCAUCCACCGCCUUUGUUGGGCGAUAAGGGAAAGGUGGCGGGUGAGGGGGUGGAGGGAUACAUGCACACAAGGAGCGAUCUUGGGAGCUGAACAAAUCUGAAAACGGCAUUAUGGGUUGGUAAACACAGAUGCCAUAAGAAGGUGCAGGAUUUGCCGUUUUCCUAUUCCCCCCUUUUUUUAGAGGCUGGAGUACAAGGCACAAAGACGAGGUGGAGGUGGAGUGAGUGGAGGGAUGAAGCGAGAAAGAAAGGAAGAAAAAGGAAGGAAAGGAAAAAGGAAGGAGACGAGGUGAAGGAGAGAGGGUCUGAUAGAGGGAUCCGAACCCAUAGUCAAAGCUAAAUUCAGGUCUCUUCAUUAAACUGUCACUCACCUGCUGCCCCACAGGGUGUCACUUCAUGUAAACACUAUCCUUCAGGCCAAAAGGUUUGGCCUCAAGUACAACUAGUUCAGAUUUAUUCUCUUUUCUUUUUAAUGAACAAGCCUCUUGGUUUCAGUCACAUUCUAGUCAUUUUUGCCCUUUAUAGACUAAUCCAACAAAUCACUAUUACACUGUGGUGGCCUCGAGUCAAAACAAUUGCACAUUCGUCCUCAGAAGCUGCUUAUGUUCUACUUUCAGCUUUACUGUCUGUAUUACUGAACUUGGAGUAACGGUGUAGCUUGCCUUGUGGAGUCUCAGCUUCUCUAUCAGUCCUAACAAACUUAAACUUAAUUAAGUUAAUUUUUUCCCAACACACAGGCUUAGCUUCAUGAGGAGUACUCCUGUAUGAGAGCAGACAAUUUACAGAGAUUAACCAGCAGCACCCUCAUAAAAGGGUCGAUAAUAUUAUGAUUGUUUGUAAUUUUACCCUUUACUAAAUGACCUGUUGAUUGCACUUUUUCUUUUAAUGCCAGCUGAUGAAUGAAAUAACAACAUGCUCCUCAUGUAGUUAGCAUACUUGUUAGCAUGCUAAUCAGAAAGGUGCGUGUAAACCUUAUGGCUAAGUUCCAGUUGAAUCUGGAUCUCCUUUCUUAUACAAAUGCAGUGCCGCUGUGCUGAUCUACCAAAGUAAUAUAGAGACUGCCACAAUGUUAGACUUUCACCUAACAAUUAUUAUCAUGAUAACAAUAUAACCGUGAUGUUAAAAGAAAACACAAUCAGUCAAACAGAGAAAAAGCGAGAAAAGGGUGGAGCAACAAAUGACUUUGUAAGCUCAACAUAUUUUAUCACCUUAUGUGGCAUCAUCUAAUUCUAACAACAUUCAUGUAUUUGAGGUAUUGCCUUUUCAACAGUUGUUUGUCAUGCUUUUAUUUGAGAUUUUUUUCUGCUUUGUGUUCAGGUUGCUUCAUUUCCUACAUUGUCAAACUAUCUUUUUUUAAUCUGUAGAGCAGAAUAGAACUGGAUGCAGAGAAAGGUUAGAAAGUAUACAUGUUUACUUUAUCAGAAACCUAAAGAGAAACAAGCUCCUAUGUUCUUUUUGGAAUAACAACGAAUCUUGGACAUCAGUUUUAAUAACAGCUAAUCAUCUCUCAGAGGACUGCUACAGCAAGAUCACUAGCAAUCUUCUACUUCUUCUUCAUCUAUCCUGUUUUAUGAUGUGUGGCAACCAACAUAAAAUACCACGACUAUAAUGUCAUGGUAUUGUCAAAUGUUAAUUUUUUGCACAAUAUCAGCAUUUCAGUUUUGCCCCCUUUGUCCUUAAGACCAAGUAAAUGGUGAAAGUGUGAGUCUGAGUGAGAUGUCAAGAGUGGACAAUGAUAAACUGUUGUGAUUGAUAAAUAAGGAUGAGAGCACAUUAGAUAUAUAUACACCGGAAAAUAUCCCUCCUUCGACAUAUUGGGCAAAAUAAAUUCUCAUGCAACAGUUUUGCUGGAAGAAUCAAAUGCAUGUUAUCUCUUCUGUAUCAUGAGACAGAUAGUUAAAGGGACACAGAGAGGGAUUUGAGAUGAAGGUAGCUGCACUGAGGAGACUUAAAUCUGCAUGUUUGUGUCUGCUGUGAUCCUGAUUUGUUCCACUCUCUGUCUAGACCUGGAUCUCCUUUGAAGCUGGUCUGAGAAUCGUCUUGAUAUUCUUCUCUACAGGUCUCCCCACAACAAGUGACAAGUAAGUUUAAAGCGUGUCUUUGGACUAGCAGGAAGAAGUACAUUACAGCUACAUCCCUGCCAGUGUUCGGUGUUUUGGCUUGAGGGAAAGGAGAACUCUCACCCUGCCGUCGGCUGCUCGCAGGAGAUAAAAGAUUCGGCGUGUUUUUACCUGCGUUUGUCUCCACCGCUCUGUAUCUGGAAUUACACCAGGGAGCUGGUCGAUAACGCCACUACAAUCAGGCUCGCCACAGUGAGUAGCAUGUUCUCCUUUCAGGGCUGUCACACAGGAAAGACAAUGCAGCACACCUGUAGGCUCCACCGAGAGCUUCCUCUGUUUUAUUGUCAGCUCAGCGCGCUGGGACCCAGGCGUGAGCGGCUGCUCUCUCACAUCACAGAGAAACAACUCCAGACUGUCUCAGUGGAAGACACACUGCAUGUCUGUUCGUGUGUUUGAUGCAAUCAUGUUAAAUGGAAGUCCUGCAGCUGUAGCAGAGGAAUGAUUCAAAAUACAAACGUG
RNAcentral lists this long non-coding RNA (20357 nucleotides) under Xyrichtys novacula (pearly razorfish). The record is from RNAcentral. Lineage: Eukaryota; Metazoa; Chordata; Actinopteri; Labriformes; Labridae.